GAAGUCUGCCAGGCAGUCGCUGCCCUGUUCGCAGGGUGGAGGAAAGUCCGGGCUCCAUAGGGCAAAGUGCCAGAUAACGUCUGGGCGGUGUGAGCCGACGGAAAGUGCAACAGAAAGUAAACCGCCUAAGCAUCUUCGGAUGCCGGUAAGGGUGAAACGGUGCGGUAAGAGCGCACCGCGUGGGUGGCAACAUUCCACGGCGAUGGUAAACCCCACUCGGAGCAAGACCAAAUAGGGAUCCAUAUAGGUGUGGCCCACACCGGAUCCGGGUAGGUCGCUAGAGGCGCAUGGUGACAUGCGUCCCAGAUGAAUGACUGUCCUCGACAGAACCCGGCUUAUCGGCAGACUUCCCCU
This 354-nucleotide RNase P RNA is filed under the name Nitrincola tapanii. RNAcentral describes it as "Bacterial RNase P class A". It matches the Rfam family "Bacterial RNase P class A". Rfam says of the family: Ribonuclease P (RNase P) is a ubiquitous endoribonuclease, found in archaea, bacteria and eukarya as well as chloroplasts and mitochondria. Lineage: Bacteria; Pseudomonadati; Pseudomonadota; Gammaproteobacteria; Oceanospirillales; Oceanospirillaceae. The record is from Rfam by way of RNAcentral.